This 544-nucleotide ribosomal RNA is filed under the name uncultured rumen archaeon. RNAcentral's name for it is "bacterial SSU rRNA". It matches the Rfam family "Archaeal small subunit ribosomal RNA", at positions 1 to 495 of the family's 1478-position model. The record is from RNAcentral.
AGCUCUCUCUCCUGGUCGAGGAGAAGGCGGCCGCGAUUCCCUAGUGAUUUCUGUUUGAUCCCGGCGGAGGCUACUGCUAUUGGGAUUCGAUUAAGCCAUGCGAGUUGAAUGAAUUUAGAUUCAUGGCGUACGGCUCAGUAACACGUGGAUAACUUACCCUUAGGACUGGGAUAACUCUGGGAAACUGGGGAUAAUACCGGAUAUUAGGCUAUGGCUGGAAUGCUUUGCCUUUGAAAUGUUUCUUGUAUUCGCCUAAGGAUAGAUCUGCGGCUGAUUAGGUCGUUGGUGGGGUAAUGGCCCACCAAGCCUAUGAUCGGUACGGGUUGUGAGAGCAAGAGCCCGGAGAUGGAACCUGAGACAAGGUUCCAGACCCUACGGGGUGCAGCAGGCGCGAAACCUCCGCAAUGUACGAAAGUGCGACGGGGGGAUCCCAAGUGUUAUUCUUAAUAGGAUAACUUUUCAUUAGUGUAAAAAGCUUUUAGAAUAAGAGCUGGGCAAGACCGGUGCCAGCCGCCGCGGUAACACCGGCAGCUCAAGUGGUAGC